Molecule: long non-coding RNA, 527 nt
Organism: Gadus morhua (Atlantic cod)
Lineage: Eukaryota; Metazoa; Chordata; Actinopteri; Gadiformes; Gadidae
Exons: 2
Source: RefSeq, a predicted model, not a curated record
CUGUCACCUACACCCUGAAGGUACAGGCGCUGUCACCUACACCCUGAAGGUACAGGCGCUGUCACCUACACACUGCAGGUACAGGCGCUGUCACCUACACCCUGAAGGUACAGGCGCUGUCACCUACACCCUGAAGGAACAGGAAGUACAGGCGGUUUUGGUUCCUGGGGCUCUGAGGAACCAUUUAAGGAUUCACUGAUAGCUCUAGUUUAUGUUUUUCUUUCUGAUGAACAGACGCCAUCUUUCAAGCCAUUCUAGGUCUGACUUGAAACUUGCAGCAUGAUCCAUGUUUCGUAUUUAUUUAUUAUGAUCACCGGUUGCUUUAAUUCCUUUCUAAAUGUCUCUAAAUGAAUGUUUUUAUUGAAUUUGUAUAGUUUUUGUAGAUUUACUGUAGUUCUAAUGUUUUCAGCUCUUCUCCUACCGUCCUGCAACUAAUAGAACGCCUUGAUAGAAACCAAUAGAAGGCCCUGAUAGAAACCAAUAGAAGACCCUGAUAGGAACCAAUAGAAGACCCUGGUAUAAACUAA